CCAGGGCGCAGCCGCGGCUACAGUGUAGCGGCUGGGGUCCCAGCCCCACCUGGCCUGCGGGGGCGAGAGCGGGCCCCAGCGCGACCUUGGGCCUGGGGAGUGUGUCUCCGACGCCUGUGGGCGCAGCAGUCUGAGGUCUAAGCGCAGGUUGAAAACGACAGGUACAAGCCAUUGAUGCUGGAAUGCUGUGAUGCUGGUAUUUUAACGGACUCAAAACUAACGUUCAGGCUAAGUGUGCUUAACGAGGUCAGGCAUUGUUGUGUAAGUAAUGAGGUCAGGCAUUGUUGUGUACGUUGUAGCAGCCAUGUGUCCAUGCGCCUGCACAGGAGUUCACACGCAGUAGCUGGUGGUGAGAGAGCAGUGCAGCGGGCGCCUCAUUUCCUUCUUUUCAUUUAAUUCUCACAAUUAUGUGGAGUCAACACUGUUCUCUAAUUUUACAGAUAAAGCAACAUUAAGUCCCCCCCCACCAACCCUCGGAGGACUCUGGGCCACUCCUAUACCUAUCAGGGACACAAGUCUUAGUCAAGGAUUGGAAGGCACUCACCCAGUUCUCUAUAUGAUAAAGUUCCAGGGAUCGCCAGUUGGACCCACCUCCUGGACCUGGCUUACACCUUUUUUGCAAAAAAAAAACAACAAAAAAAAACCCCAAAACAAACCAGAAUGCUUCUAAAUUCCAGAUAAGGCCCAGCCGUCUCUUCUAUUAUCUCCUCAUUCACCCUAGCUAAUUCCAGUAGCGCUUAUCAAUUAGCCAACUUUAUUGCCAUUACUUUACAAUUCAAUACCACCUGCUGGGGAUAUAUAAAACCAACAUCUCUGGAAUUGGGGAGCACUUACUGCUGAUCUAGUUUGAGAACCUCCCCAAAUCCCGAUAUUGCCAAGGAAAGCCCCAUAAGGAUGUAAACUUACUAAGGGUGAAGGGCAAUUGUGUCACUCUUAUCUGUGAUUCUCAAAAUACCCUACAUUUGAAUCCCCAAAGGGGGCCCCUAUUUCUUGAAAGAAUUUAUGAAAAAAAUCUAUAACCCCUCUACUUGACUCCCUAACCACAGCCACAUUUGCAGCCCAGGGGGUCCAACUCUGGGGAACCAAGUUCUCCAUCAGAAGGGGAAACCAUGCCUCUGGGGAAAGUAUUCUUAUGCUGACAUCCAGGUAACUGAAGAACUUACCCUUCCGAGGAAAUUUCCUGGAUUUGGGGAUCCUGUGCCUGACUGGCUUUGUCCGCUGGAUGGAGAGGUAUUUGCUCUCUAGGCUAUGUCAUCCCUAUGUCAGCAUGACAACCCCAUAGCCUGGAAUGACAGCCCCCUUUCCCUCUCCAUUCCGGAAGUCAUCUAAGUGGAAGAGCAGGGUUUCUCAUCCUCCUGGGGGGAGGGGACAGCUGUAGGAGCUUCACUGGGGAUCCAACAGCUUUUAUCCGAAAACACAGCUGCCGCUGGAAGACAGGAGAAACCGUAAACAUGUUGGAAGAGCAAAUUGAUUCCUUAGCCUGUAGCCCUUCAGAAUAGAACGUGGUACCUGUUUACACCUAAAGGAGGAAUGUUGCCUCUAUAUCAAUCAGGGCAGGUACAACAAAGCACCAGACAUCUUUGAAAGGGCAAGCAACAGAUUACUGGGGACUCCUUCUGGAAUGCCAAAUCUUGGCUUCUCUUCCCCUUCCCUUUGCUGCGACCAUAAUUCUGGCUCCUAAUAUUUGGGCCCAUGUCACCUUAAUUUAUUCAACACAUUCCUUAUAUAGCAGCCAUACAGCUCUGAAGUAACAUACUGAAACAGGUUAGGCCAACGGGGGAGCGGGGGGUGAGGACCACAGGGCAGCUAUUGAGAAUUAAGUUCUUCACAGCAUUUACAUUGAAUCUACAAAAGCUCCAAAAUUUGGCCCAAAUGGGGCAUAUGUCAGCAUUUUUAAAAAUGAAUAUUGCAUAAUGUAAGAAGGGAUAUAAAAGACAGUGGUGCUAAAUAGAAUAGGAAAGUACUGGUGGUGAUGGGGGAAGUUUUCAUAAGGGAAGAAAUGUGGCCACAGCAAGAUGAGCACAGGCAAGUGUGUGCUAGAAGUCGUUCCUGGUGCCCAGCUUAAUGUCAAACUCGUUUUCUUGAAAUCUCUAAUAAAGGUAUAUAAUAUCCA
This is a long non-coding RNA of Myotis brandtii (Brandt's bat), 2113 nucleotides long. RefSeq lists it as uncharacterized. The record is from RefSeq and is a predicted model, not a curated record. NCBI's taxonomy places the organism in Eukaryota, Metazoa, Chordata, Mammalia, Chiroptera, Vespertilionidae. The transcript is spliced from 2 exons.